UACGUAGGGGGCAAGCGUUAUCCGGAUUUACUGGGUGUAAAGGGAGCGUAGACGGCAUCGCAAGUCAGAAGUGAAAAUCCGGGGCUCAACCCCGGAACUGCUUUUGAAACUGUGGAGCUGGAGUGCAGGAGAGGUAAGCGGAAUUCCUAGUGUAGCGGUGAAAUGCGUAGAUAUUAGGAGGAACACCAGUGGCGAAGGCGGCUUACUGGACUGUAACUGACGUUGAGGCUCGAAAGCGUGGGGAGCAAACAGG
This 253-nucleotide ribosomal RNA is filed under the name Eshraghiella crossota. Its description in RNAcentral is "Butyrivibrio crossotus partial 16S ribosomal RNA". It matches the Rfam family "Bacterial small subunit ribosomal RNA", at positions 524 to 776 of the family's 1533-position model. The record is from RNAcentral. Lineage: Bacteria; Bacillati; Bacillota; Clostridia; Lachnospirales; Lachnospiraceae.